Long non-coding RNA from Marmota monax (woodchuck), 718 nucleotides. RefSeq lists it as uncharacterized. The transcript is spliced from 3 exons. NCBI's taxonomy places the organism in Eukaryota, Metazoa, Chordata, Mammalia, Rodentia, Sciuridae. The record is from RefSeq and is a predicted model, not a curated record.
CUGGCAGAUCCACAGGGUUAGCUUCUGUGUAGACUGAGGGGUCAGAGGGCCAACCAGCCAAACUGAAACACUUUGGGGAAUGAAAAGAGACACUGUGAUUACUGUGGGACAAAAGGCAGAACCCAGAAGAGACCUGGGCAGGCGGCAGAAGGAUUGCUCUGGAUGACUCAAUACCCAGGGACACAAAAUUAGCCUGAAGAGUGUCCCAUGGAUCCUCAAGGCUCUGAAGCCCUUUCCUGUUUGGUGAACCCUCCUCCCCACAUUCCCACAGCAAGCUUGGUGGGAAGCAAAGCCUCUUACUACAGAGGCUGCAAGUACCAGACACCUGCUCAUAUGAGACUUUGCAGCUCUGGCAUGGACACAAGACCCGAGUGCGAACCAUAAAAGGCCUGUUGCAAACCAUAAAUCUGGGGACAACUUGAGCAUCUUCUUUGGCAGCAAAAGAUCACAAGAGCGACCUAGAAUUUCAAGGGCUAAAAAGAGAAAGUGAAUUGUUCAUCCCUCUGUAUGCAGCCAGAUUUUGGUUCUCCUCCAUACAGAAUUACAAAACAAGAUCAGGGAAGGCUGGCUGCCAGCAAACUAAAUAAAAAGUCCGUCAACAGUUAAACUUCUACAUCAGUCGGUUUCAUAAUUUAAGCUUGAAACUCAAAAAAAUCUGAGCCUUCCCUUUCCUGAUGUUAUUAUUGCUGGUAAUCUGAGUAUAGAGAGUAAGAAAAUG